CAUGCCGCGUGUGUGAAGAAGGCCUUCGGGUUGUAAAGCACUUUCAGCUGUGAGGAAAGGCGAGUGGUUAAUACCCGCUUGCUGUGACGUUAACAGCAGAAGAAGGACCGGCUAACUCCGUGCCAGCCCGUCGGUGACUGAGCGGGCUGGCAAGGCGCAUA
RNAcentral lists this ribosomal RNA (161 nucleotides) under uncultured bacterium. Its description in RNAcentral is "partial 16S ribosomal RNA". It matches the Rfam family "Bacterial small subunit ribosomal RNA", at positions 393 to 539 of the family's 1533-position model. The record is from RNAcentral.